Molecule: non-coding RNA, 175 nt
Filed under: Paenibacillus sp.
Lineage: Bacteria; Bacillati; Bacillota; Bacilli; Caryophanales; Paenibacillaceae
Source: RNAcentral
CUACAUAUAGUGCAUAAUGGGAUGCGGAGCAAGUCCCGCCAAACAGGGAAGCCGGCGUAAAUCCGGCGCGGUCCCGCCACUGUGACAGCUGUUAUGAGGAAGGAGCAUUCGCGCUCCUUGUCAUGGCCAAUCGAUUCAGCUGAAGCCAGAUACCUGCCAUUAUGACGACUACUUG